RNAcentral lists this long non-coding RNA (1344 nucleotides) under Piliocolobus tephrosceles (Ugandan red Colobus). RNAcentral's name for it is "lncRNA (ENSPTEG00000005406.1)". Lineage: Eukaryota; Metazoa; Chordata; Mammalia; Primates; Cercopithecidae. The record is from RNAcentral.
CUGAACAAUUGGACAUUGAAAUAAAAGAAAAAAAUUUAAUAUUAGAUGAAUUUAAUAAUAAUGUAAAUGAAAUAAAUGAAUAUAUAAAUGUAUAUGAAGAAAAAAAACUAUAUAAUACAUACAUAUGUAAAUUACAUACAUGUUUAAUAACAGAUCAUGAUAAAUACUUAGAACGGAAAAAAAAUCAGUUUUCUAAUUUUGUGAGAGAAUAUAACAAUUUAAAAGAAGUGUAUGUUAAGUUAGAAAAGGAGAAACAAACAAAUGAUGAAAUUGCUAUAAAAAACAAAAAACAAUUUUUCUUAAAUUUAAACAAAAUGCAUCAUAUAUUUUUCGAAUCUUUCACUAAUAAUUCUAUAGGUUAUGAUAGUAUUUUUUUGAAAUCCCCUUUUUUGCUUAUAAAAAAAAAACAUGAAACCGACUAUGUUAUGAAUAUAUAUGAUGUGAUUAUACAAAAAAAUAGACAAGACACAAGUGAUAAACAAACGGAAACCGUUAUAACAGAAUUGGGACCUGAGAAUAAUAAAAACAGUACAGAAGAUAAAGAAAUAAAAAUGACAUUUUAUUAUACCAUAACAUAUCCAAAUAAAUCAGGAGGUAAUACAGAAACAAAACAAGUAUCAGUGAACAUUCCGACAUCAUGUUUAAGUUUAUUUAACAAGCUUUUUUUAGUAAGUCCUAAUGGCGAAAAAGAUAACAAAGGUGAUAAUACUACUGGCGAUAGAAAGAGUCAAAGUAAUAGUAGUGAUGAUGAAGAGUGUGUUAGCACUACAAAACAGGAACAUCCUACUUAUAUAAAAGCAAAAGGUUUUAACAAUCAAAGUAUGGAAGAAGGAAUAGAAGACAUAGUCGAAUAUGAUACAUAUAUUAGAGAUUUGGUUAAAAGGGAUAUACAAACUGGAACAGAAUCGGAAGAGGAGACCGAAGUGGUGACAGAAGUGGAGAAGGAAACGGAGAAGGGAACGGAUGCGCAUGUACAACCACACGUACCACAUGUACCACAUGAAAAAACAAAAAGGAAAGUGGGGAAUUUGGAAGUAAGUCGAAAUCAUACCAAUAACAGUACAUAUGAUAUUAAUAACGAUAUAUCUACCUAUGCGGAUAUGUUAUGGCAAAAACGAUGUGAGAAAAAAAAUGAGUUAACUCAAAUGAUAAAAAAUAUGGGUUUUUAUGAAACUGAACUUACUGAUAAUUCGAUAAAAACGUAUUUUAACAAACUAAUGGAAGAAUAUAUAACAGAAGAUACAUAUUAUCAAAACCAGUUGAAACAAAUAAACGAAUUGAAGUCAAAUUAUAAUAUGCAUUCAUGUAACAUUGAGUUAAGAAAGGUAAAAUUUGCUAACACUC